RNAcentral lists this transfer RNA (72 nucleotides) under Dipodomys ordii (Ord's kangaroo rat). It matches the Rfam family "tRNA". From Rfam's summary of the family: Transfer RNA (tRNA) molecules are approximately 80 nucleotides in length. Their secondary structure includes four short double-helical elements and three loops (D, anti-codon, and T loops). The record is from Rfam by way of RNAcentral. Lineage: Eukaryota; Metazoa; Chordata; Mammalia; Rodentia; Heteromyidae.
GGGAAGGUGGCUCAGUGGUAGAGUGCUUGCCUUGCAUGCAUGAGGCCCUGGGUUUGAUUCCUCAGCAUCCCA